UACAGAGGGUGCGAGCGUUACUCGGAAUUACUGGGCGUAAAGCGUGCGUAGACGGUUAUUUAAGUCGGGUGUGAAAGCCCCGGGCUCAACCUGGGAAUUGCAUUCGAGAAUGAAUAGCUAGGGUACGGUAGAGGGAAGCGGAAUUUCCGGUGUAGCGGUGAAAUGCGUAGAUAUCGGAAGGAACAUCAGUGGCGAAAGCGGCUUCCUGGACCAGUACCGACGUUCAGGCACGAAAGCGUGGGGAGCAAACAGG
This 253-nucleotide ribosomal RNA is filed under the name uncultured bacterium. Its description in RNAcentral is "partial 16S ribosomal RNA". It matches the Rfam family "Bacterial small subunit ribosomal RNA", at positions 524 to 776 of the family's 1533-position model. The record is from RNAcentral.